This 190-nucleotide ribosomal RNA is filed under the name uncultured Kingella sp. RNAcentral describes it as "partial 16S ribosomal RNA". It matches the Rfam family "Bacterial small subunit ribosomal RNA", at positions 340 to 524 of the family's 1533-position model. Lineage: Bacteria; Pseudomonadati; Pseudomonadota; Betaproteobacteria; Neisseriales; Neisseriaceae. The record is from RNAcentral.
UACGGGAGGCAGCAGUGGGGAAUUUUGGACAAUGGGGGCAACCCUGAUCCAGCCAUGCCGCGUGUCUGAAGAAGGCCUUCGGGUUGUAAAGGACUUUGUUAGGGAAGAAAGGGAAGUGCUAAUACCACUUUUUGCUGACGGUACCUAAAGAAUAAGCACCGGCUAACUACGUGCCAGCAGCCGCGGUAAU